CGGCGGACGGGUGAGUAAUGCCUAGGAAUCUGCCUGGUAGUGGGGGAUAACGUCCGGAAACGGACGCUAAUACCGCAUACGUCCUACGGGAGAAAGCAGGGGACCUUCGGGCCUUGCGCUAUCAGAUGAGCCUAGGUCGGAUUAGCUAGUUGGUGGGGUAAUGGCUCACCAAGGCGACGAUCCGUAACUGGUCUGAGAGGAUGAUCAGUCACACUGGAACUGAAACACGGUCCAGACUCCUACGGGAGGCAGCAGUGGGGAAUAUUGGACAAUGGGCGAAAGCCUGAUCCAGCCAUGCCGCGUGUGUGAAGAAGGUCUUCGGAUUGUAAAGCACUUUAAGUUGGGAGGAAGGGCAGUAAAUUAAUACUUUGCUG
This 374-nucleotide ribosomal RNA is filed under the name uncultured bacterium. Its description in RNAcentral is "bacterial SSU rRNA". It matches the Rfam family "Bacterial small subunit ribosomal RNA", at positions 96 to 472 of the family's 1533-position model. The record is from RNAcentral.